GUACUGGUUCAACAACAAGUGGCUACGAGGAAAGAUAUGAAGAGGAUAUUGGAGGUGCAGCAGGGACAAUAAUAGCAGAUCAUACAAUAAAUAUUUUAGGAGCAACAGUUCCAGCAGCAACAAGGAGCUAAAAAUCAGUAUGAAUGUCAAAUCAAUUUAUUAGAUUUCAAAAAGUAUGCACCAUCGGCAUUCUCAAGAACCUC
RNAcentral lists this long non-coding RNA (203 nucleotides) under Elaeis guineensis (African oil palm). Its description in RNAcentral is "long non-coding RNA (EGUI_LNC032192)". The record is from RNAcentral. Lineage: Eukaryota; Viridiplantae; Streptophyta; Magnoliopsida; Arecales; Arecaceae.